RNAcentral lists this ribosomal RNA (284 nucleotides) under Corethron hystrix. Its description in RNAcentral is "partial Eukaryotic small subunit ribosomal RNA". It matches the Rfam family "Eukaryotic small subunit ribosomal RNA", at positions 589 to 879 of the family's 1831-position model. The record is from RNAcentral. Lineage: Eukaryota; Bacillariophyta; Corethrophyceae; Corethrales; Corethraceae.
CUCCAAUUGCGCAUAUUAAAGUUGUUGCGGAUAAAAAGCUCGUAGUUGGAUUUGUGGUUCGUCCAGCUGGCUGGGUCUUUGACUUUUGCUGUGCUGGUCGUCCAUCCUUGGGUGGAAUCUGUGUGGCAUUAGGUUGUCGCGCAGGGGAUGCCCAUCGUUUACUGUGAAAAAAUUAGAGUGUUCAAAGCAGGCUUAUGCCGUUGAAUAUAUUAGCAUGGAAUAAUAAGAUAGGACUUUGAGUCUAUUUUGUUGGUUUGCGAGUCAAAGUAAUGAUUAAUAGGGAC